CCUACGGGAGGCUGCAGUGAGGAAUAUUGGUCAAUGGCCGGAAGGCUGAACCAGCCAAGCCGCGUGAAGUGCGAAGGUGCCAAGCAUUGUAAACUUCUUUUGUCAAGGGACAAAAUCAGGCUCGAGAGCCUGACAGAGGUUACUUGAAGAAAAAGCAUAGGCUAACCCCGUGCCAGCAGCCGCGGUAAUACGGAGGAUGCAAGCGUUGUCCGGAUUUACUGGGUGUAAAGGGCGUGCAGCCGGGACGACACGUCCGAUGUGAAAUCCCGCGGCUCAACCGCGGAACUGCAUUUGCAACUGGUUUUCUUGAGUGCCGGAGAGGUCAUCGGAAUUCCUUGUGUAGCGGUGAAAUGCGUAGAUAGAAGGAAGAACACCAGUGGCGAAGGCGGAUGACUGGACGGCAACUGACGGUGAGGCGCGAAAGCGUGGGGAGCAAACAGGAUUAGAUACCCUGGUAGUC
Molecule: ribosomal RNA, 460 nt
Filed under: uncultured bacterium
Lineage: Bacteria
Description: partial 16S ribosomal RNA
Rfam family: Bacterial small subunit ribosomal RNA
Source: RNAcentral